Molecule: non-coding RNA, 75 nt
Organism: Pelobates cultripes (western spadefoot toad)
Lineage: Eukaryota; Metazoa; Chordata; Amphibia; Anura; Pelobatidae
Source: the annotation of a GenBank genome assembly
CAUAUCAAUCUUCGAUGCCAUUUACCCCACCUACCAUGGUGACCACGGGUAACGGGGAAUCAGGGUUCGAUUUCG